CGAAGCUGCUGUGUAACGCUGCUGCUUUCCAUUUCAGUUUGCACCCACAUAGAGAGCCAACAAACUGACCUAGUUCACAAUAAGCAACCGAGGAUGCACGGUGACUUGAUUUCACAUGGCCAAGGAUUCUAUCUCCACAGGACCCAGCAGCAUGCCAGGAGCUUAUUUUCAAAAGAAGCUUUUUUAUUAACUCGCUUUUGCUGGCUUUGGUGUAGCAAGAUGCCAUAUUGGAGAAGCUCAAACAGCAAUGAACUGAGGGUGGCCCCUGGCCAACAACCAGCAUGACACUGAUGUCCUCAGUCUAAUAGCCUGUAAGGGAGUAAAUCCUUCAAAUAAUCAUGUGAGCUUGAAAGUGAUCCUUCUCCAGUUGUGCCUUCAGGUAAAUCCUGGCCCAAACCUUGAUAGGCAGCCUUAUGAGAGACCUUGAAGUAAGAGGACCCAUCAAGGCUAUGCUUAGAUCCUGAACCUCAGAAGCUGUGAGAUAAUGACUGUAUGUUGCUCUAAGCUGCUAAGUUUGUGGUAGUUACACUGCAACAGAUAAUACAGUGUAAUAAAGCGUCUGAUACCA
This 568-nucleotide long non-coding RNA is filed under the name Equus asinus (donkey). Its description in RNAcentral is "lncRNA (ENSEASG00005033444.1)". Lineage: Eukaryota; Metazoa; Chordata; Mammalia; Perissodactyla; Equidae. The record is from RNAcentral.